AGUGAACGCUGGCGGUAGGCCUAACACAUGCAAGUCGAACGGCAGCACGGUAAGAGCUUGCUCUUACGGGUGGCGAGUGGCGGACGGGGGAGGAAUACAUCGGAAUCUACUUUUUCGUGGGGGAGAACGUAGGGAAACUUACGCUAAUACCGCAUACGACCUACGUGUGAAAGCAGGGGAUCUUCGGACCUUGCGCGAUUGAAUGAGCCGAUGUCGGAUUAGCUAGUUGGCGGGGUAAAGGCCCACCAAGGCGACGAUCCGUAGCUGGUCUGAGAGGAUGAUCAGCCACACUGGAACUGAGACACGGUCCAGACUCCUACGGGAGGCAGCAGUGGGGAAUAUUGGACAAAGGGCGCAAGCCUGAUCCAGCCAUACCGCGUGGGUGAAGAAGGCCUUCGGGUUGUAAAGCCCUUUUGUUGGGAAAGAAAAGCAGCAGGUUAAUACCCCGCUGUUCUGACGGUACCCAAAGAAUAAGCACCGGCUAACUUCGUG
Molecule: ribosomal RNA, 492 nt
Filed under: uncultured bacterium
Lineage: Bacteria
Description: partial 16S ribosomal RNA
Rfam family: Bacterial small subunit ribosomal RNA
Source: RNAcentral